This 1192-nucleotide ribosomal RNA is filed under the name Salmonella enterica subsp. enterica serovar Berta. RNAcentral's name for it is "partial 23S ribosomal RNA". It matches the Rfam family "Bacterial large subunit ribosomal RNA", at positions 1741 to 2925 of the family's 2925-position model. The record is from RNAcentral. Lineage: Bacteria; Pseudomonadati; Pseudomonadota; Gammaproteobacteria; Enterobacterales; Enterobacteriaceae.
AAGUGAUUUACUCACGGAGCUGAAGUCAGUCGAAGAUACCAGCUGGCUGCAACUGUUUAUUAAAAACACAGCACUGUGCAAACACGAAAGUGGACGUAUACGGUGUGACGCCUGCCCGGUGCCGGAAGGUUAAUUGAUGGGGUCAGCGCAAGCGAAGCUCCUGAUCGAAGCCCCGGUAAACGGCGGCCGUAACUAUAACGGUCCUAAGGUAGCGAAAUUCCUUGUCGGGUAAGUUCCGACCUGCACGAAUGGCGUAAUGAUGGCCAGGCUGUCUCCACCCGAGACUCAGUGAAAUUGAACUCGCUGUGAAGAUGCAGUGUACCCGCGGCAAGACGGAAAGACCCCGUGAACCUUUACUAUAGCUUGACACUGAACAUUGAGCCUUGAUGUGUAGGAUAGGUGGGAGGCUUUGAAGUGUGGACGCCAGUCUGCAUGGAGCCGACCUUGAAAUACCACCCUUUAAUGUUUGAUGUUCUAACGUGGACCCGUUACCCGGGUUGCGGACAGUGUCUGGUGGGUAGUUUGACUGGGGCGGUCUCCUCCUAAAGAGUAACGGAGGAGCACGAAGGUUGGCUAAUCCUGGUCGGACAUCAGGAGGUUAGUGCAAUGGCAUAAGCCAGCUUGACUGCGAGCGUGACGGCGCGAGCAGGUGCGAAAGCAGGUCAUAGUGAUCCGGUGGUUCUGAAUGGAAGGGCCAUCGCUCAACGGAUAAAAGGUACUCCGGGGAUAACAGGCUGAUACCGCCCAAGAGUUCAUAUCGACGGCGGUGUUUGGCACCUCGAUGUCGGCUCAUCACAUCCUGGGGCUGAAGUAGGUCCCAAGGGUAUGGCUGUUCGCCAUUUAAAGUGGUACGCGAGCUGGGUUUAGAACGUCGUGAGACAGUUCGGUCCCUAUCUGCCGUGGGCGCUGGAGAACUGAGGGGGGCUGCUCCUAGUACGAGAGGACCGGAGUGGACGCAUCACUGGUGUUCGGGUUGUCAUGCCAAUGGCACUGCCCGGUAGCUAAAUGCGGAAGAGAUAAGUGCUGAAAGCAUCUAAGCACGAAACUUGCCCCGAGAUGAGUUCUCCCUGAGACUUUAGGUCUCCUGAAGGAACGUUGAAGACGACGACGUUGAUAGGCCGGGUGUGUAAGCGCAGCGAUGCGUUGAGCUAACCGGUACUAAUGAACCGUGAGGCUUAACCUUACAACGCCG